RNAcentral lists this small nuclear RNA (103 nucleotides) under Myotis lucifugus (little brown bat). Lineage: Eukaryota; Metazoa; Chordata; Mammalia; Chiroptera; Vespertilionidae. The record is from RNAcentral.
GUGCUUGCUUUGGCUGCACAUAUAUUAAAGUUGGAUGAUACAGAGAUUAGUAAGGCUCAUGUGCAACAAUGACAUGCAAAUGUUACAAAAUCUUAGCAUUUGU